UCUCUCUGAAUCUGCGAACGGCUCCGCAUACCAGUUGUAAACCAUAGCGAGCAAACCGUGGCGGCAUCGCAAGGCGUCGUCGCGGUUAAUAAGGAUAACCCUGGUAAUUCUGAGGCUAAUACAAGAACGUACAACCCACCCGACCCGCAAGGGAAGGGGGGGGAAUGUGUGACCAGGCACGCAAAUUCAAACUGGGAGUGGCCACACGUUCAGACCGUCAUACCAAACAGUUGCUCGCUUUGAAAGUCCUCGUGAUAAACGGCGGGCUUCUGGGCGGCUCUCGCUGUGUGCUUCUGACCUAUCAACUAGAUGGCAGCGUAACGGACAUGCUAUGGUGACAACGGGUACAGAGGAUAAGGGUUCGAUCCUGGAGAGUGGGCCUGAGAGAUU
Molecule: ribosomal RNA, 390 nt
Filed under: uncultured myxomycete
Lineage: Eukaryota; Evosea; Eumycetozoa
Description: SSU rRNA
Rfam family: Eukaryotic small subunit ribosomal RNA
Source: RNAcentral